RNAcentral lists this ribosomal RNA (253 nucleotides) under uncultured bacterium. Its description in RNAcentral is "partial 16S ribosomal RNA". It matches the Rfam family "Bacterial small subunit ribosomal RNA", at positions 524 to 776 of the family's 1533-position model. The record is from RNAcentral.
UACGUAGGGUGCAAGCGUUAAUCGGAAUUACUGGGCGUAAAGCGUGCGCAGGCGGCUUUGCAAGACAGAUGUGAAAUCCCCGGGCUUAACCUGGGAACUGCAUUUGUGACUGCACAGCUGGAGUACGGCAGAGGGGGAUGGAAUUCCGCGUGUAGCAGUGAAAUGCGUAGAUAUGCGGAGGAACACCGAUGGCGAAGGCAGUCCCCUGGGCCUGUACUGACGCUCAUGCACGAAAGCGUGGGGAGCAAACAGG